This 380-nucleotide ribosomal RNA is filed under the name uncultured eukaryote. RNAcentral's name for it is "partial 18S ribosomal RNA". It matches the Rfam family "Eukaryotic small subunit ribosomal RNA", at positions 592 to 976 of the family's 1831-position model. The record is from RNAcentral.
CAAUAGCGUAUAUUAAAGUUGUUGCGGUAAAAAAGCUCGUAGUUGGAUUUCUACCGAAGAUAGCCGGUCGGGUCUUCGACCUUGUAUCUGGUUUUGUCUUUGGUAUCCUCAUAGGGAACGUUUCUGCGCUUUAUUGCGUGGUGCGGUAUCUAUGACUUUACUUUGAGGAAAUUAGAGUGUUCACGGCAGGCAAACGCCUUGAAUAUAUUAGCAUGGAAUAAUAACAUAGGAUCUUCGUCCUAUUUUGUUGGUUUCUAGGGCUAAGAUAAUGAUUAAUAGGGAUAAUUGGGGGCAUCUGUAUCAACGCGUCAGAGGUGGAAUUCUUGGAUUGCGUUGCGACAAACUACUGCGAAAGCAUUUGCCAAGGAUGUUUUCAUUGA